Molecule: ribosomal RNA, 486 nt
Filed under: uncultured bacterium
Lineage: Bacteria
Description: bacterial SSU rRNA
Rfam family: Bacterial small subunit ribosomal RNA
Source: RNAcentral
GAUGAACGCUGGCGGCGUGCUUAAUACAUGCAAGUCGAACGAAGGUUGUAGCAAUACAUCCUUAGUGGCGAACGGGUGAGUAACGCGUUGGUGACCUGCCCCGAAGUGCGGGAUAACAGUCCGAAAGGAUUGCUAAUACCGCAUGGUUUCAUUUGGAUUAGAUGCCAGAUGAGCAAAGGCGAAAGUCGCUUCGGGAGGGGCUUGCGUCCCAUCAGCUAGUUGGUAGGGUAAUGGCCUACCAAGGCAAUGACGGGUAGGGGACCUGAGAGGGUGGCCCCCCACAAUGGAACUGAAACACGGUCCAUACACCUACGGGUGGCAGCAGUAGGGAAUAUUGGUUAAUGUGCGAAAGCGCGAACCAGCAACGCCGCGUGCACGAUGAAGGCCUUCGGGUUGUAAAGUGCUUUUGAGGGGAUGAGGAAGGACAGUACCCUCAGAAUAAGUCUCGGCCAACUACGUGCCAGCAGCCGCGGUAAACGUCUACUG